Lagopus muta (rock ptarmigan) is the source of this 261-nucleotide long non-coding RNA. RefSeq lists it as uncharacterized. Lineage: Eukaryota; Metazoa; Chordata; Aves; Galliformes; Phasianidae. The transcript is spliced from 3 exons. The record is from RefSeq and is a predicted model, not a curated record.
GGAAGGAUCUCUUCUGGAGAUUGCCUCUCUUGGUGUUUUGUGGUGAGCCCAGCUGAAGGAUCCUUGUAUCGUGCAAUAGAGGAGUGGACUUGUAAAAAAGAAACUGAGAUAACCCAAUAAAAUCUUUUGAAGCAUUAAAAAGAAGCUUUGGGGAGGCAGAGUGAGAUGUAGGGCUAGCUUCCAAAAGGAGAAUGACUCUUGGAUGAUGGUCACUUCCUGAGAAGUAGUGCUCUAUGGCUAGAGACUCUAUCUGCAGCUGGG